UACGUAGGGGGCAAGCGUUGUCCGGAUUUAUUGGGCGUAAAGAGCGUGUAGGCGGCCAGGUAGGUCCGUUGUGAAAACUCGAGGCUCAACCUCGAGACGCCGAUGGAAACCAUCUGGCUAGAGUCCGGAAGAGGAGAGUGGAAUUCCCGGUGUAGCGGUGAAAUGCGCAGAUAUCAGGAAGAACACCCGUGGCGAAGGCGGCUCUCUGGGACGGUACUGACGCUGAGACGCGAAAGCGUGGGGAGCGAACAGG
Molecule: ribosomal RNA, 253 nt
Filed under: uncultured bacterium
Lineage: Bacteria
Description: partial 16S ribosomal RNA
Rfam family: Bacterial small subunit ribosomal RNA
Source: RNAcentral